UACGUAGGGUGCGAGCGUUGUCCGGAAUUACUGGGCGUAAAGCGUGCGCAGGCGGUUGUGCAAGACCGAUGUGAAAUCCCCGGGCUUAACCUGGGAAUGGCAUUGGUGACUGCACGGCUAGAGUGUGUCAGAGGGGGGUAGAAUUCCACGUGUAGCAGUGAAAUGCGUAGAGAUGUGGAGGAAUACCGAUGGCGAAGGCAGCCCCCUGGGAUAACACUGACGCUCAUGCACGAAAGCGUGGGGAGCAAACAGG
This 253-nucleotide ribosomal RNA is filed under the name uncultured bacterium. RNAcentral describes it as "partial 16S ribosomal RNA". It matches the Rfam family "Bacterial small subunit ribosomal RNA", at positions 524 to 776 of the family's 1533-position model. The record is from RNAcentral.